Papio anubis (olive baboon) is the source of this 216-nucleotide small nucleolar RNA. Its record names the gene U3. It matches the Rfam family "Small nucleolar RNA U3". Rfam says of the family: Small nucleolar RNAs (snoRNAs) are involved in the processing and modification of rRNA in the nucleolus. There are two main classes of snoRNAs: the box C/D class, and the box H/ACA class. U3 snoRNA is a member of the box C/D class. NCBI's taxonomy places the organism in Eukaryota, Metazoa, Chordata, Mammalia, Primates, Cercopithecidae. The record is from Ensembl.
AAGACUAUACUUUCAGGGAUCAUUUCUAUAGUUCGUUACUAGAGAAGUUUCUCUGAAUGUGUAGAACAUCAGAAACCAUGAGGAGGAGGCACAGUGUUGUCUCCCGAGCGUGAAGCCAGGUCCUGGUGUUGCUUCGCUGCAACUGCCAUUUGCCAUUGAUUAUAGUUUUUCUCUUCCUUUGGGAAAGUAAGAGGGAAAGGAUGCAGUCUGAGUGGU